UUUGGAGGGGGUUAGCGUUGUUCGGAAUUACUGGGCGUAAAGCGCACGUAGGCGGGCUGUUAAGUCGGGGGUGAAAUCCCGGGGCUCAACCCCGGAUCUGCCUUCGAUACUGGCAGCCUUGAGUUCGAGAGAGGUGAGUGGAACUCCGAGUGUAGAGGUGAAAUUCGUAGAUACUCGGAGGAACACCAGUGGCGAAGGCGGCUCACUGGCUCGAUACUGACGCUGAGGUGCGAAAGCGUGGGGAGCAAACAGG
RNAcentral lists this ribosomal RNA (253 nucleotides) under uncultured bacterium. RNAcentral describes it as "partial 16S ribosomal RNA". It matches the Rfam family "Bacterial small subunit ribosomal RNA", at positions 524 to 776 of the family's 1533-position model. The record is from RNAcentral.